AUGGAAUGAUUAUCAGCGCAAAGUGAUGACAAAUAAAAAUCGAGUAACGAUCGAUUUUUAGACGUGCACUAUAGGUGCCUCAGUACCGUGGAUACUUAAAGUUUAUGACCUUUUU
RNAcentral lists this small nucleolar RNA (115 nucleotides) under Bombyx mori (domestic silkworm). Its description in RNAcentral is "C/D box snoRNA". The record is from RNAcentral. Lineage: Eukaryota; Metazoa; Arthropoda; Insecta; Lepidoptera; Bombycidae.